Molecule: long non-coding RNA, 801 nt
Organism: Gymnogyps californianus (California condor)
Lineage: Eukaryota; Metazoa; Chordata; Aves; Accipitriformes; Cathartidae
Exons: 4
Source: RefSeq, a predicted model, not a curated record
GAACCAGACACAGUCUCACUGGAUUCCUCCAUAAAACAACCGAGGCAGAUGUGUGGAUGCCAGAUUUGCCUUUCAGGUCUACCUACCGCACCCACCAAGGACUGCUGAAUUGCGGUAUAAGGUCAGGCCUGUGGUCACUCUCUUCUGACACUAGCAAGUUUCUGCAGUAUUGAGCAUGAUGACUUCUCACAACUGCCUAGACGGGGCGUGUGUAAGUGACCACAUCUCUCUCAGCUCAAGUGUGAACAUCACUUCUUAAGAACGAUACCAAAGUCAACAUCUGUUUCCUCAGUUUCUUCCUGUUCUACCCUUGGCAUCCCAACAGUGACCUUGAGCUUCAGUGCAUGCAGACAAAUGCCGGCUACUCAGUAAGGCUGUGUUUAGAUGAAACUGCAUCACCCCUGUAGCAAAUUCAGAAUUAAGUCUCAAGAGUUGCAUACUAAGAUCCUAAGAUUCUGGCUUUGCACCCAAAAGUCUCCUUGACCGCAGUGAGAAAAGGAAUGGGCUCAAGGACCAAAAGUACACUCAGAAAUGAGUCGAUGCAUGAUGUUCUCCAGGGUCAGUAUUUUUCAAGUGCUGCUGUGUUCUUUCAGGGGGAAAAAAAAAAAAGAUUCAUCGAGUUAGAUGGACCAAGUUCCUGUGGGUGCCGUAUGUGCCAUAGAGUGGAAAUUCAAGACCAGAGAAUUAACAGGGUUUGUUGUGUUACAAAGCUGAAGGCAUUUUUAUCCUUAUAUGUGUGUACUCACAGAAAAACAUACUGCACUAAUGAAACACAACUUUAUGUUCCCAGUCAUAUUUAUG